Molecule: unclassified non-coding RNA, 200 nt
Filed under: soil metagenome
Description: partial contains internal transcribed spacer 2 and large subunit ribosomal RNA
Source: RNAcentral
CUCGGGCCCCUUCGGGCCCGGCGUUGGGGAUCGGCCGUCCACCGCGGCGGCCGGCCCCGAAAUCCAGUGGCGGUCUCGCUGUAGCCUUCUCUGCGUAGUAGUAAAACCCUCGCAGGCGGAGAGCGGCCUGGCCUCGCCGUAAAACACCCAACUUUACCAAGGUUGACCUCAGAUCAGGUAGGAAUACCCGCUGAACUUAA